UUACUUUUUUCCAGACCUUGGAUAAUUGAUGAUGCUUGUUUUGGAAUAGCAGAAGGGUUUAUGCCAGCAUAUGAGGUCAAACCAGUACCAAGUAAUAGAAGAGAGGAACUAAAUGUUCAGUUAAAAUUGGUCCACAAGGGAACCGCUGAAUAUGAGAAGAUUGAGAAAGUGCGGUUGUUGCAUUCCGAGUUUCUGGAGCAUAUCCAGUCUCGACUCCUACCAAGACUUUUGGCUGAUGAGUGGCAGCUCAUGAGGCAAGUGGCUGAAGAUUAGAAGGUAAAUUCACAUGGAAUGACCAUCUUGGGUUGACUCAACGAGUUGCUUCAGGUCUGGUAUUCAGUUUCAAAAGGAUUAUCAUCUCUCCCAUUCGAUCAGAAAUUCUAGCAACUGGUAUGUAGCAAUCUCUCGCUCUAGUGGCAUUUUGGCGUUAAAUCGUAAACAUUAUUCAUAAUUUUGGCCGAAAGGCCAUCCACCAUAGCGGUAGUUGAAAUUUUUUUAUGAUAUGAUAGACCUUUAUGUUUCUUCUUUGUAAAUUCUCAUUUUGCUCUACAGUGUUCAUAUCAAUCAUUGCAAAAACAAGAAUUUUGACCAUUAGAAAAUUAUUUGGCAUUAAGUGGUGGUA
Long non-coding RNA from Phalaenopsis equestris, 622 nucleotides. RefSeq lists it as uncharacterized. The record is from RefSeq and is a predicted model, not a curated record. The transcript is spliced from 3 exons. Lineage: Eukaryota; Viridiplantae; Streptophyta; Magnoliopsida; Asparagales; Orchidaceae.